Oncorhynchus keta (chum salmon) is the source of this 640-nucleotide long non-coding RNA. RefSeq lists it as uncharacterized. The transcript has 4 exons. The record is from RefSeq and is a predicted model, not a curated record. Lineage: Eukaryota; Metazoa; Chordata; Actinopteri; Salmoniformes; Salmonidae.
GUGGGUACUGCCGGUUUCUGCACGGUGGGUACCGCCGUCUUCUGGCUGGUGGGUACCGCCGUCUUCUGGCUGGUGGGUACCGCCGUCUUCUGGCUGGUGGGUACCGCCGUCUUCUGGCUGGUGGGUACCGCCGUCUUCUGGCUGGUGGGUACCGCCGUCUUCUGGCUGGUAGGUACCGCCGUCUUCUGGCUGGUAGGUACCGCCGUCUUCUGCAUGGUAGGUACCGCCGUCUUCUGGCCGGUAGGUACCGCCGUCUUCUGGCCGGUAGGUACCGCCGUCUUCUGGCCGGUAGGUACCGCCGUCUUCUGGCCGGUAGGUACCGCCGUCUUCUGGCCGGUAGGUACCGCCGUCUUCUGGCCGGUAGGUACCGCCGUCUUCUGGCCGGUAGGUACCGCCGUCUUCUGGCCGGUAGGUACCGCCGUCUUCUGGCCGGUAGGUACCGCCGUCUUCUGGCCGGUAGGUACCGCCGUCUUCUGGCCGGUAGGUACCGCCGUCUUCUGGCCGGUAGGUACCGCCGUCUUCUGGCCGGUAGGUACUCCUGGCUUCUGCAUGGUAGGUACUGCCGUCUUCUGGACGGUAGGUACCCCUGGCUUCUGCAUGGUAGGCACUGCUGUCUUCUGGCCGGUAGGUUUUGAGUCCU